This 189-nucleotide microRNA precursor is filed under the name Malus domestica (apple). RNAcentral describes it as "miR10995 stem-loop (mdm-MIR10995)". The record is from miRBase by way of RNAcentral. Lineage: Eukaryota; Viridiplantae; Streptophyta; Magnoliopsida; Rosales; Rosaceae.
CUUCAAACUCCUGCAGCUGGUCAAGCUUCCUCUUCAUACUCGUUGAGUAAUUAGUUGCGAGUAUGUGCAACUCUUUAGUCUCGUGCCUAAGCAUUCUAAUCUCUUGACGAAGACUAACCAUCUCAGCAAUCAAAGACUCAACCUAACGAGAUCGAGCGAGAAGGCGUUGGCCCAUGUUUGAUACUGAGG